This 533-nucleotide transfer RNA is filed under the name uncultured Prochlorococcus sp. RNAcentral describes it as "partial 16S-23S ribosomal RNA intergenic spacer". The stretch from base 210 to 282 matches the Rfam family "tRNA". Lineage: Bacteria; Bacillati; Cyanobacteriota; Cyanophyceae; Synechococcales; Prochlorococcaceae. The record is from RNAcentral.
CAGGGAGACAACAAAAUGUUUAAUAUUAUUUUGUCACCUUAGGUCGAUCGGUAUCUCACAUUCUUAAAUCUAUUAAGAAUUUCAUUUCCUAAGUUUUUCUAGGUCACACCCAUUAUUUUUCCUGGGCCAUUAGCUCAGGUGGUUAGAGCGCACCCCUGAUAAGGGUGAGGUCCCUGGUUCAAGUCCAGGAUGGCCCAUAUCUCUAUGUUGGGGGUAUAGCUCAGUUGGUAGAGCGCCUGCUUUGCAAGCAGGAUGUCAGCGGUUCGAGUCCGCUUACCUCCACUGAUUACCACCUCUUCCAUAAUCUAAGGAAAUGUUUUGAGUUGUGAUCAAAUUCUGAACGAAUCUAGCUUCCUAAUGAAAUCAUUAAGAUGCUGGACUCAUUGAAUUAAUUUCAUUGUUUUCAGAGAACCUUGACAACUGCAUAGAUUAUUUUUAAAGACAAUAAGCAUCUUUAAUGAUGCAGAUUUAUUAUUUGUGCGAAUGCAUUAAUAACAAUUCUAUUAAGCUGAUGCUUCAAUUUUGAAGUUAUU